RNAcentral lists this non-coding RNA (21 nucleotides) under Arabidopsis thaliana (thale cress). Lineage: Eukaryota; Viridiplantae; Streptophyta; Magnoliopsida; Brassicales; Brassicaceae. The record is from RNAcentral.
UGAUCUCUCGUCUGCUACACU